This 238-nucleotide long non-coding RNA is filed under the name Capsicum annuum. RNAcentral's name for it is "long non-coding RNA (CANN_LNC020290)". The record is from RNAcentral. Lineage: Eukaryota; Viridiplantae; Streptophyta; Magnoliopsida; Solanales; Solanaceae.
CCGGGAUGAACAACAUAGCAUGACUCAUACGCCUUAGCAAUAAUCCUUUAUCGCAAAUUAUUGAUAUCAGGAACACACAACCUCCCUUGAUACCGUAAAGUACCAUCACCACCAAUCUCAAACACCAUUAGCUUUUGCCUACCAAAAAUACUCUUGAUUUUAAUCAAUAUAGGAUCUAGCAUUUGCUUCUCCUUUAUCUCUACACUAUGAGACGAUCGAACCACUUCUUACACCAUCA